AGUGAACGCUGGCGGUAGGCCUAGCACAUGCAAGUCGAACGGCAGCACAGUAAGAGCUUGCUCUUACGGGUGGCGAGUGGCGGACGGGUGAGGAAUACAUCGGAAUCUACUUUUUCGUGGGGGAUAACGUAGGGAAACUUACGCUAAUACCGCAUACGACCUACGGGUGAAAGCAGGGGAUCUUCGGACCUUGCGCGAUUGAAUGAGCCGAUGUCGGAUUAGCUAGUUGGCGGGGUAAAGGCCCACCAAGGCGACGAUCCGUAGCUGGUCUGAGAGGAUGAUCAGCCACACUGGAACUGAGACACGGUCCAGACUCCUACGGGAGGCAGCAGUGGGGAAUAUUGGACAAUGGGCGCAAGCCUGAGCCAGCCAUACCGCGUGGGUGAAGAAGGCCUUCGGGUUGUAAAGCCCUUUUGUUGGGAAAGAAAAGCAGCAGGUUAAUACCCCGCUGUUCUGACGGUACCCAAAGAAUAAGCACCGGCUAACUUCGUG
Molecule: ribosomal RNA, 492 nt
Filed under: uncultured bacterium
Lineage: Bacteria
Description: partial 16S ribosomal RNA
Rfam family: Bacterial small subunit ribosomal RNA
Source: RNAcentral